CUAGUGUUGGACACCGAAUAGGCUAAGCUCCUGUUGGUUAGCAGCUGCUAUAUAUAUGUACCUAUAGCCCCUGUAAUCCAAUUGUGUUGCGUGCUAUGUAUUGCUGCUAGCUAUUAGUAGAUCGAUUACUAGAUCAAUUCCGGCUACAAGCAGAGUACGUACAGAAAAUCGAUCAGGAGCAGAACGGCCUUUGCACUGCGUAGGUGGAACGAUCAGAGGAGACAGGAGACAUGGCUAUGCUGCUAUACGAAGCACCUACUGGCAUUGCAAUUUUCUCUUUUGAUGGGGACUACCUCAAUGAUCAGGUGGAGAACUUCUGGGAAUACCUACCACCGCUUAAUCUGGAGGAAUUCAUAAAAAAUGAGAUGGUGCCUUCCCCCAUUGACACCACGAACAAAGCUAUUGAUGAUCACCUAGCCAAGAGGCUCACUAAGCUGUGUUGUUCUGAGAAAGAAAUUAGUUGUGGGGAAUGAUGAAUAUAAAAGAAUAAUUGAAAUGAACCUGAGAAUAACAUGUCUGCAUGUUCAUGUUCCGGAUUGUGAGGUGGUAAUUUGCAGUCUGAAGAAUCCCAUGUAUACUUUAUUGCCUAGAAAACUAUCAAAUCCUGAUGAAGAUUUAAUAUUCUUCUUAAAGCAACAUUUCAUUGGUUGCAAGCCUGAGAUGGUGAGCUUACCGCUUGUCAUUCCUUAU
Long non-coding RNA from Triticum aestivum (bread wheat), 690 nucleotides. RefSeq lists it as uncharacterized. The record is from RefSeq and is a predicted model, not a curated record. NCBI's taxonomy places the organism in Eukaryota, Viridiplantae, Streptophyta, Magnoliopsida, Poales, Poaceae. The transcript has 5 exons.